CGUGUUUCGGCACGAGUUGUAAAUUGCAGGUUGGAGUCUUUGUGGAAGCGUGUGUCCAAGUCCCUUGGAACAGGGCGCCAUUGAGGGUGAGAGCCCCGUGGGAUGCGCGCGGAAGCAACAAGGCCCUUCUGACGAGUCGAGUUGUUUGGGAAUGCAGCUCUAAGCGGGUGGUAAAUUCCAUCUAAGGCUAAAUACUGGCGAGAGACCGAUAGCGAACAAGUACUGUGAAGGAAAGAUGAAAAGCACUUUGAAAAGAGAGUGAAACAGCACGUGAAAUUGUUGAAAGGGAAGGGUAUUGGGCCCGACAUGGGGAUUGCGCAUCUCUGCUCCUUGUGGGCGGGGCGCUGUGCUUUUCCUGGGCCAGCAUCGGUUUUUGCCGCAGGAGAAGGGGUACUGGAAUGUGGCUCCUCGGAGUGUUAUAGCCAGUGCCAGAUGCUGCGUGCGGGGACCGAGGGCUGCGACAUCUGUCUCGGAUGCUGGCACAACGGCGCAAUACCGCCCGUCUU
RNAcentral lists this ribosomal RNA (506 nucleotides) under Pichia pseudolambica. RNAcentral describes it as "[Candida] pseudolambica partial large subunit ribosomal RNA". It matches the Rfam family "Eukaryotic large subunit ribosomal RNA", at positions 122 to 655 of the family's 3401-position model. The record is from RNAcentral. Lineage: Eukaryota; Fungi; Ascomycota; Pichiomycetes; Pichiales; Pichiaceae.